This 477-nucleotide ribosomal RNA is filed under the name uncultured bacterium. Its description in RNAcentral is "partial 16S ribosomal RNA". It matches the Rfam family "Bacterial small subunit ribosomal RNA", at positions 28 to 507 of the family's 1533-position model. The record is from RNAcentral.
GAUGAACGCUGGCGGCGUGCCUAACACAUGCAAGUCGAACGAAGCACCUUACCUGAUUCUUCGGAUGAAAGUUUGGUGACUGAGUGGCGGACGGGUGAGUAACGCGUGGGUAACCUGCCCUGUACAGGGGGAUAACAGCUGGAAACGGCUGCUAAUACCGCAUAAGCGCACGAGGAGACAUCUCCUUGUGUGAAAAACUCCGGUGGUACAGGAUGGGCCCGCGUCUGAUUAGCUGGUUGGCAGGGUAACGGCCUACCAAGGCAACGAUCAGUAGCCGGUCUGAGAGGAUGAACGGCCACAUUGGAACUGAGACACGGUCCAAACUCCUACGGGAGGCAGCAGUGGGGAAUAUUGCACAAUGGGGGAAACCCUGAUGCAGCAACGCCGCGUGAGUGAAGAAGUAUUUCGGUAUGUAAAGCUCUAUCAGCAGGGAAGAUAAUGACGGUACCUGACUAAGAAGCUCCGGCUAAAUACGUG